CAAUAGCGUAUAUUUAAGUUCCUGCAGUUAAAAAGCUCGUAGUUGGAUUUCGGGUGGGAAUGGCCGGUCCGCCGUUUCGGUGUGCACUUGCUACGCCCACCUUGCUGCCGGGGACGUGCUCUUGAGUUCACGCUCGGGACACGGAGUCGGCGAGGUUACUUUGAGUAAAUUAGAGUGUUCAAAGCAGGCCUACGCUCUGAAUACAUUAGCAUGGAAUAACACGAUAGGACUCUGGCCUAUCUUGUUGGUCUGUAGGACCGGAGUAAUGAUUAAGAGGGACAGUCGGGGGCAUUCGUAUUUCAUUGUCAGAGGUGAAAUUCUUGGAUUUAUGAAAGACGAACUACUGCGAAAGCAUUUGCCAAGGAUGUUUUCAUUAA
RNAcentral lists this ribosomal RNA (377 nucleotides) under uncultured eukaryote. RNAcentral's name for it is "partial 18S ribosomal RNA". It matches the Rfam family "Eukaryotic small subunit ribosomal RNA", at positions 592 to 976 of the family's 1831-position model. The record is from RNAcentral.